UGGGCGUAAGAGCUCGUAGGCGGUCUGUCGCGUCGGCUGUGAAAACUCGGGGCUCAACCCCGAGCCUGCAGUCGAUACGGGCAGACUAGAGUGCUGUAGGGGAGACUGGAAUUCCUGGUGUAGCGGUGAAAUGCGCAGAUAUCAGGAGGAACACCGGUGGCGAAGGCGGGUCUCUGGGCAGUAACUGACGCUGAGGAGCGAAAGCGUGGGGAGCGAACAGGAUUAGAUACCCUGGUAGUCCACGCCGUAAACGGUGGGUGCUAGGUGUGAGCGGUAUUCCACGCCGUUCGUGCCGCAGCUAACGCAUUAAGCACCCCGCCUGGGGAGUACGGCCGCAAGGCUAAAACUCAAAGGAAUUGACGGGGGCCCGCACAAGCAGCGGAGCAUGUGGCUUAAUUCGACGCAACGCGAAGAACCUUACCAAGGCUUGACAUGCAGGGAAAUCCUCCAGAGAUGGGGGGUCCGCAAGGGUCCUGCACAGGUGGUGCAUGGUUGUCGUCAGCUCGUGUCGUGAGAUGUUGGGUUAAGUCCCGCAACGAGCGCAACCCUCGUUCUAUGUUGCCAGCGCGUGAUGGCGGGGACUCAUAGGAGACUGCCGGGGUCAACUCGGAGGAAGGUGGGGAUGACGUCAAAUCAUCAUGCCCCUUAUGUCUUGGGCUGCACACAUGCUACAAUGGCCGGUACAAAGGGCUGCUAAACCGUGAGGUGGAGCGAAUCCCAAAAAGCCGGUCUCAGUUCGGAUUGGGGUCUGCAACUCGACCCCAUGAAGUCGGAGUUGCUAGUAAUCGCAGAUCAGCAACGCUGCGGUGAAUACGUUCCCGGGCCUUGUACACACCGCCCGUCACGUCACGAAAGUCGGUAACACCCGAAGCCAGUGGCCCAACCCGUGAGGGGGGGGGCUGUCGAAGGUGGGAUCGGCGAUUGGGACGAAGUCGUAACAAGGUAGCCGU
RNAcentral lists this ribosomal RNA (950 nucleotides) under uncultured bacterium. RNAcentral describes it as "bacterial SSU rRNA". It matches the Rfam family "Bacterial small subunit ribosomal RNA", at positions 555 to 1503 of the family's 1533-position model. The record is from RNAcentral.